Long non-coding RNA from Cephus cinctus (wheat stem sawfly), 820 nucleotides. RefSeq lists it as uncharacterized. Lineage: Eukaryota; Metazoa; Arthropoda; Insecta; Hymenoptera; Cephidae. The record is from RefSeq and is a predicted model, not a curated record. The transcript has 2 exons.
AGUUCGGAAUUUCGCCGCUAGGCGGCGGCACUCUAGAGAAAUAACGUGCAGAUGUACAGUCAGUGGAAAACUUAAUGAAACGGUGUCUUUUACUCAGGCGUAAAUCUUGUAUUCCGGGUCUUUCUUAGAUUCGUUGUAAAAUGUGUUAUACAAGAUGGACAGUUCUAGUUGGUAGCUUGACGUCUACGUUGAAAGAAGCUGAGUAUUCGUUUACUGCUCACUAAUAAUGUUCUUUUACCAAUGGUAAUUGUGGCUUUACGUUACCAUGCUAUAAAUUUAUGGCUGCUGCGGGAACCUUGUGUGAAUUUAUCACUAAGCGCGGAAUUAUCUUUACAUUGCUGGGAACAUAUGGAAAAUUGUAUACUCCUUUACGGCAGGCUCGAGUUCCAUGACUAUUUUAAGACGAUAACGUCAUUCGGAUGAUUCCCAUGUUGAGUAACUUGGAGAAAAAUUGAUAAAUGGAAAAUUUCGAUGGUACAAUUCUUCGAGUAUUCUUGAUGCUGAUCGCCAAAAGCGCAGAACUUGUUACUUAUGCUAAUAAUUUCAAUAGAAUAGUCCUGUACUACAAGCAUUGUCACAAUGUGAAGUUUUCGUGGGCCAUUAAAGUCAUUGGCACUGAUUAUCACCAAAUGUUAAAUUAAUUAUACGAUACGGUUGCUUUUGCGAGUGCAUAUAGGUGAAUUUGGCGCGUAUCUUUGUGUCAAUGACUUUUUUGACUUACGUUUACCUUAGCUGACAGCCAUUCGAGUAGAUAAGUAUAAAAUAACUGAUAAUCAAAUUGUACUGUAUCAUAUCAUUAAAUAUACUAGUCAAAAUGUUA